GGGGAUNUAGCUCAGUGGUAGAGCGCAUGCU
This 31-nucleotide non-coding RNA is filed under the name Homo sapiens (human). Lineage: Eukaryota; Metazoa; Chordata; Mammalia; Primates; Hominidae. The record is from RNAcentral.